AGCAGGCACACGAGGAUACAGUCUAGCUCUAGAUGGUGUCCAGUUGCAGAAAAGAAAGGGGGUAGAAUUUUGCUCCCGGUACCUGAGGAAAGCCGCUUCAAGGGCAUAGGAGUCACAGACAGAGCACAGAGGCAGCACACACACAGAGAGCUCAGCUCUGGUCCAGAGGGAUUCCACUGUGAGAAACCAAAGUCACUGUCUUCUUCUGUUUCACUUCAGCCAAGCUUGAAUUGAAUCGAUUUUCAAGGGUCUUCGACGUCACCGGGAUGGCAGAGGCACAUCAGGCAGUUGGCUUCCAGUUCACCGUCACCUCAGACAGCAUCGACCGCCACCUGAGCCGCGAGGUACUCAAACACAUCUACCUGUCGGGAGUGACGUCAUGGACAAAGCGCGCCAUAAGAUUUAAAAAUGGGAUAUUGACAGGUGUCAGCCCAUCUAGUUUGCUGAUCGUUGUGAUAGCCAUAUUGAGCACCAUAUAUGCCAGGAUAGACCCAUCACUGGGAAUGAUAGACACCAUCAAGAGGACCCUGUCUGUCAGUGGCUACAUGACAGUGCAGACCCAGACAGUGCUGAGUGCCAUCCUGUUUUCCACAGGCCUGUGGCUCUCUCUCAUCCUCAUGCUGAGGUACAUUCUCAAGGCCCUUCUCUCCUACCAUGCCUGGAUCUUUGAGUCCCACGGCAAAAUUAGCUUCUGCACCAAACUCUGGCUGAGUCUGGUGAAGAUGUUCUCUGGGCGCAGACCUCUCCUCUAUAGCUUCCAGACCUCCCUACCCAGACUACAUGUGCCUAGUGUGGAUGACACCAUAAGCAGGUACCUGGAGUCAGUGCGCCCCCUGUUGGAUGAUGAGCAGUACAACCAGAUGGAGGUGGUGGCCAAUGACUUCAAGAAGGACCAGGCACCCAAACUCCAGAAAUACCUCAUCCUCAAAUCCUGGUGGGCUACUAACUAUGUGAGUGAUUGGUGGGAGGAGUACAUCUACCUUAGAGGCAGGAGUCCCAUCAUGGUCAACAGUAACUUCUACUCCAUGGAUCUGCUGUACGUGACUCCCACACACAGACAGGCAGUUCGGGCAGGGAAUGUUGUUCAUGCUAUGCUGCAGUACCGCCGCAAACUAGAGAGAGGAGAACAUGCACCGUUGAGGGCUCUGGGGGUGGUGCCCAUGUGUUCUUAUCAGAUGGAGAGGAUGUUCAACACCACACGUAUCCCUGGUAUAGAGACAGACUUUGUUCAGCACCUGAGUGACCGGAAGCACCUGGUGGUGUACCAUAAGGGCCGCUUCUUUAAGGUGUGGCUGUACUACGGGGGGCGUCACCUCUGGCCCUCUGAGCUGGAGACUCAGUUCCAGAGGAUCCUCGUCGACACCACCGUGCCACAGCCUGGGGAACUCAAACUGGCUGCCCUCACAGCCGGCAACAGAGUUCCGUGGGCGCGGGCUCGUCUGAAGUACUUCAGACAGGGUGUUAACAAAGCCUCUCUGGAGGCCAUCGAGACGUCAGCUUUCUUCCUCAGCCUUGAUGACGAGGUGCAUGGUUAUGACCCUGACAAGCUGAGGUCAUUGGACCUGUAUGCCAAGUCCCUGCUGCACGGGAAGUGCUAUGACAGGUGGUUUGACAAAUCUUUCACUCUGAUCACUUAUAAGAACGGUAAACUGGGGGUUAAUGCAGAACACUCAUGGGCAGACGCUUCUAUUAUAGGACACAUGUGGGAGUAUGUCCUAGCAACGGACUGCUUCCAUUUGGGCUACACAGAGGAGGGACACUGCAAAGGAGACAUCAACAAGGGCCUGCCUCCCCCCACCAAACUGCAAUGGGACAUUCCACUGGAGUGCCAGGAGGUCAUUGAGGAGUCCUACAUGGUUGCCAAGGUGAUAGCUGAUGACGUGGACUUUCAUGGCUGUCUGUUUGAUGAGUUUGGGAAAGGCCUGAUCAAGAAGAGUAGGACCAGUCCUGAUGCCUUCAUACAGCUAGCACUACAGCUGGCCCAAUUCAGGGAUAAGGGGGAGUUCUGUCUGACGUAUGAGGCCUCAAUGACCCGGAUGUUCCGUGAGGGUAGGACAGAGACGGUUCGCUCCUGCACCUCAGAGUCCACAGCCUUUGUCAGAGCCAUGGAGGACAAGAACACUGCGAGUGCCCAAAAGUUGGACCUCUUCCGGAAGGCCGCAGACAAACACCAGAACAUGUACCGUCUGGCCAUGACAGGCUCUGGCAUCGACAGACACCUCUUCUGUCUCUACAUCAUGUCUAAGUACCUCAGCAUCGACUCACCAUUCCUCAAACAGGUGUUGUCAGAACCCUGGAGGUUGUCCACUAGUCAGACUCCUCAACAGCAGCUCAACAUGGUUGACAUGAAGAAGUUUCCCAGAUACGUGGGCGCGGGGGGGGGGGGUUCGGCCCUGUGGCUGAUGACGGCUAUGGCAUCUCUUACAUCAUUAUAGGAGAGAACCUGAUCACAUUCCACAUCUCCAGCAAGUUUUCCAGCCCUGAGACGGACUCGUACCGCUUUGGACAGAACAUUCGACAGGCCAUGCUGGACAUUCGUGCGCUAUUCGACCAAAAAGCUCUGGAUAAGAGCGUCUGCUAAAUGACUUAAAUGUAAUGUAAAUGUAAAAAGACAAGAAGGAGAAGGAGAUGUGAUACGAAGACAGUCUGGAAGGUCUUUUUAGCCUUCAUACCACAUUUUUGUGCUCUGUGACUUUACAACAUGGUUUCCCAACGGCUGGUCACGACUAGUCUCUUCUGGGUAACGACUUUAGACUGGGUUAAGUUAUAAAGCUUCUGGAUAUCUACUCAGAGAGCAGGAGGAAUUGCUUUGCAGAAGAAUACAUAUUUAAUAAAGCAUUUUCACUAUUUAUAUCAGACACUAUCCUUUCUAUAAAAGGGCAGUGAAUUUUGAGUAUAGUUUUGAACCGAUUCUGGCAAGAGCAAUGGAGCACAUAAUGCCUUGGUGGCCAUAUAGAACUAUUAUUAAUCUGAUUUUGAUUGUAGUAGAAUGAUAUAUGGAUGUAGCCUUGUAAGGAUAGGCCACUAUCUGUUUAGAGAGGUCAUAGUAUUUGCUUCUGAUUGUAAUAUGUGUACACUUGUAUAUACCAUUGUUUUGAGUAUUUUAAGUGUUGUAAUAUAUAAGGUUGUAUAUCGGAAUCUGUUAUGCUUAUGUAUUUGUGUUUAUUAGUAUAUUAUAAAGGAUAUGUUGAUUGUU
Molecule: RNA transcript, 3196 nt
Organism: Oncorhynchus gorbuscha (pink salmon)
Lineage: Eukaryota; Metazoa; Chordata; Actinopteri; Salmoniformes; Salmonidae
Gene name: carnitine O-palmitoyltransferase 1, liver isoform-like
Exons: 19
Source: RefSeq, a predicted model, not a curated record